UUAUAAUCAUUUUAAAACCCUGGUUCAAACCACUGAGGAUGAGGGUUGCUUUUUGGCAUUUAUGUAGGCCCAUGGAC
Long non-coding RNA from Xenia sp. Carnegie-2017, 77 nucleotides. RefSeq lists it as uncharacterized. The transcript has 3 exons. The record is from RefSeq and is a predicted model, not a curated record. Lineage: Eukaryota; Metazoa; Cnidaria; Anthozoa; Malacalcyonacea; Xeniidae.